AUAGCGUAUAUUAAAGUUGUUGCAGUUAAAAAGCUCGUAGUUGAACUUCAGACCUGGCUGGGCGGUCUGCCUUCACGGUAUGUACUGUCUGGCUGGGCCUUACCUCUUGGUGAGCCGGCGUGCCCUUUAUUGGUGUGCGUCGGGGAACCAGGACUUUUACCUUGAGAAAAUUAGAGUGUUCAAAGCAGGCCUGUGCCUGAAUACAUUAGCAUGGAAUAAUAAAAUAGGACGUGCGGUUCUAUUUUGUUGGUUUCUAGAGUCGCCGUAAUGAUUAAUAGGGAUAGUUGGGGGCAUUGGUAUUGAGUCGCUAGAGGUGAAAUUCUUGGAUUGACUCAAGACCGACUAUUG
This 348-nucleotide ribosomal RNA is filed under the name uncultured eukaryote. RNAcentral's name for it is "SSU rRNA". It matches the Rfam family "Eukaryotic small subunit ribosomal RNA", at positions 594 to 945 of the family's 1831-position model. The record is from RNAcentral.